UACGUAGGGUGCAAGCGUUGUCCGGAAUUAUUGGGCGUAAAGAGCUCGUAGGUGGCCUGUCGCGUCGGCUGUGAAAACUCGGGGCUCAACUCCGAGCUUGCAGUCGAUACGGGCAGGCUAGAGUUCGGCAGGGGAGACUGGAAUUCCUGGUGUAGCGGUGAAAUGCGCAGAUAUCAGGAGGAACACCGGUGGCGAAGGCGGGUCUCUGGGCCGAUACUGACGCUGAGGAGCGAAAGCAUGGGGAGCGAACAGG
RNAcentral lists this ribosomal RNA (253 nucleotides) under uncultured bacterium. RNAcentral describes it as "partial 16S ribosomal RNA". It matches the Rfam family "Bacterial small subunit ribosomal RNA", at positions 524 to 776 of the family's 1533-position model. The record is from RNAcentral.